Molecule: unclassified non-coding RNA, 451 nt
Filed under: Bombus terrestris (buff-tailed bumblebee)
Lineage: Eukaryota; Metazoa; Arthropoda; Insecta; Hymenoptera; Apidae
Description: misc RNA ENSBTSG00005032346.1
Source: RNAcentral
AGCGUAUCGAGGUUUAAUUUAUUUUAAUGUAUUCAAUCGAUACAUUACCGCGCGAGAAGAUCGAAAUAUCGUGGAGCGAGGCGAGCGAGGAUGGGAACGUUGUGAGGAAAAUUCGAGACACGAUCCAACGUUAGCACGUUCUGGUUUUGCGGCAACUUCUGGUUGCCGAAGUUAUCGAAGAAAGUUCCUGUGAAAUAGCAGUAACAGAUAGCCGAAAAUGUUUCGAUUUAAUUUCCCUCGAGCGACAAAGUCGCGCUAUUCCUCGUUUCAUACUUGCACCGACGUACCACGACUAAUGAACACUCUUAAUUAGUAAUUAGCAACUUUACCGACUCAUGAAACUUAUCAGUUUAUUCCCAGUCGAACACCCGUGUGUUUAACUCUUCCUUUACUGCUACUGAUUAUACAAUGUGGACUGUGCAAAAUGAUUUGAAAAACACGUUUGAGAUUU